UGAGGUCAGAGUACAAAGGCACACCUUGCCAGUCAAAAAUCCGGGUCAACCUUGGAUGUUUGAGUACGAUGACUUCUUCAAUUCGAUCAAUGUUGAAGUCCAGAUCCGAGGAGGGAAUUAAGGAGUCAUGAAAUAAGGGACAUGGGAUCGUGGGCUAGUGCAUUCAGACUUGACAACUUGUUCGGUAACAAUAUGUGAAAGCCAAAUAGA
This 210-nucleotide long non-coding RNA is filed under the name Helianthus annuus (common sunflower). Its description in RNAcentral is "sRNA HanXRQr2_Chr10g0466141". Lineage: Eukaryota; Viridiplantae; Streptophyta; Magnoliopsida; Asterales; Asteraceae. The record is from RNAcentral.